Molecule: long non-coding RNA, 1004 nt
Organism: Eriocheir sinensis (Chinese mitten crab)
Lineage: Eukaryota; Metazoa; Arthropoda; Malacostraca; Decapoda; Varunidae
Exons: 2
Source: RefSeq, a predicted model, not a curated record
AAGUGCUUGUCCGACAUUUGAUUAUACACGGAGAAACUAUCAGACGAGACAACACAGUUGACUAAAACGGGUCAAAUUAUGCAUACGCAGCGGGGGUCAAAUUACACAUACGCGGCUAUAUCUAAGCCAGAGAGGCUGAAUCGGCCUUGGGAGCAGCACAAUGCUGAACCUGACUUGUGAACUUUCGUUGGUAAUUAAAAUGUUCGGUCUCCUUAGCUCCAAUAACAUUAUACUGAGUUUGUUAGGUUAUUAUUUUGUAGAAUAUACUGUAGGUUGAUAGUUGAGUAGAUAUUUAUAGUAUUCUCAUUUUUGUUGUUGUUGUUGUUGUUGUUGUUGUUGUUGUUGUUGUUGUUGUUGUUGUUGUUGUUAUUAUUAUUAUUAUUAUUAUUAUUAUUAUUAUUAUUAUUAUUAUUAUUAUUAUUAUUAUUAUUAUUAUUAUUAUUAUUAUAGUAGCAGUAGAAAGUGGCAGUAUCAAUAUGAUCUCAAAGUAAUAACGAUCAAUACUAUCAUGAUAACAAUUAUUUAGCUGCUAUUACUGUCUUCAAUGGAGGGAAGGAGACGAAAAUUUUCCUAGUGCAUUUCUAGCGCAUUUCACACCUCAGUCUAGCGCUAUUACACCCGACGUAUUUGGCAACACUGUUCAGCAUAUGGCGGCCUGACGGUCCUCAUAUUUUCGUCUUGUUCGUCUGUUUUGUGACCUGUCCCCGGCUACUGCUGUCCCCGGCUACUGCUGUCCCCGGCUACUGCUGUCCCCGGCUACUGCUGUCCCCGGCUACUGCUGUCCCCGGUUUUCACUGUGACUGAAAGAUCCGAAAUUCGAAUAAAGGAAAAAAUGAAAAAAACAAUAAAAACGAAAAUGUUGAGCAAACUAUACGUCUAGCUGCGCACCGUACUACUCGCUCUGUACAGCGCUAAGGCACAGUGUAUGUAACCAAGGAAAUGAUGAACAGCUUUGCUCGGCAUAAUUUGCGAGACUGCCUUCCAAGAACAUACAAAUUGUUAAG